AUUAAUAUGAAAGUUUAUCACUAUCAAGAAGUAAUGGAGGUGGAAGAUGGUCAUGAAUUUCAUAGUGAGUUGCAUUAUUGAAACUUGAAAGUAAAAGAAAAUUCAACACCAUAUGCUGAGGACUGAUGUUAUUUCCUAAAAUGAAGUGUCCAUAGUAUUUGACAGGUUAAUUAAGUUAUUAUUCAUUAUCCUACAAUUAAACUUAGAGUUUUUUGCAUUGUAUGCCAUAUCUUCUGACUAAAGGUUUUAUUGGAUAUUUUGUAACUUCAUACAACAGUACUAAAGUGAGACAUGCUCUAACCAAAGGAUGGCAUAGCGUCCACAAAAUCCUAUGCUUGCAAGUUGGACAAAACACCAUACAAUUGUCUUUAGAACACCAAAGCCAAGUGAAGACAUAAUUUGUUUCUUCUUUCAAUAUUUUACAAAAUUGUUUUUCUUCUUUUUUAUAGUAUGUACAAACAAAUGAAUCAUAAA
RNAcentral lists this long non-coding RNA (474 nucleotides) under Cicer arietinum (chickpea). RNAcentral's name for it is "long non-coding RNA (CARI_LNC002364)". Lineage: Eukaryota; Viridiplantae; Streptophyta; Magnoliopsida; Fabales; Fabaceae. The record is from RNAcentral.